Molecule: long non-coding RNA, 3536 nt
Organism: Fukomys damarensis (Damara mole-rat)
Lineage: Eukaryota; Metazoa; Chordata; Mammalia; Rodentia; Bathyergidae
Exons: 3
Source: RefSeq, a predicted model, not a curated record
ACCUGGGGAUGCGGCGGGGGCAGGGCCCGCAGGGACACCACUGUGGUCCCCAGACCUGGGAAGAGGGUACGGUGUAUCCCGGAGCCCAGACGCCCGUGGCUGGGGCCCAGAUCCCAAACUCACAGGGGCUUUCUGACCGCUGCGCAGAAAGCCACCCAGAUGAGACUUGUGUCUUUAUUCUUGGCCACGCAGAGAAGCCUGUCUGCCCAGAAAAUUAAUUAAUUUUUUGGUACCGGGGAUCGAACUGGGGACCUUGUGCUUGCGAGGAAGACACCACUGAGCUACAUCCCUGGCCCCACGUUUUAAGUUUGUAAAAGUUGCCGGCCAUGGUGACACACGCCUAUCAUCGCAGCACUUGGGAGGCUGAGGCAGGAGAAUCGCCGUGAGUUCGAGGCCAGCCUGUGCUACAUAGUGAGUCAAGGCCAGCGUGAGCUAAUAGCGAAACACUGUCUCAAAGAAAAAAGGAAAAAAACAAACAAACAAAAAGUCACUGUCCAGUAUUUAGGAGCGCUUGGCCGUCAUUUCUGCCUUGUACCAUUUGCUUCCUCAUACAGUCGUCCAUGGCAUGCCUGUGAAACUCCAGCUUCCUACCCCAGAGGCUUUCUGCUGUACAUCCUCCGUUAUAAUUUAGCAAGGGAGCCUAAUUGAUUUCAACCUGGUGCUUGCUGUUUGGUGCAUUAUUAAAGACAUCUUGGUUACAAUAAUCUAAAUAAUUUAAAUGUCUUUAAAAUGGUGCCAUUAUCAAGAGAAGUGGGCAGCUGCUCAGAUUCCUGCCACCUGUGGACCUGUGCCGUUCUUUCCUGGGGAACCUUAGUUUCUUCUUAACUGUCAGUUCGGAGCCAUCCUGGUUGCCCUUCAGAAGUGGGCCUCCGGGGACGCCCCCAACACCUGUCUGCAGAUUGGAGAAGUUGAUUUCUUUCUCUUUCUGAUUUUUGGUCAGAUGUGCACCACCUGGGCCGCUGUGUUUGUGCCCCAACUUGCCCGACCUCUUAGAAGCUUCUGGUGGGAGACGCCUAGAUGUUCGGUGACCGGUUGUUCGGCAGCAAGAGUCUGUCUGUGACAGGCUGUCAGUCUGUCUGUAAAUCCGGAGCUGUUUCUUUAGCUGUGUGAGGCUUCCCUACAGUAGCUCCCAAGUGUCUUGGGCUGGUCGGCUUGUCCAGAGAUUUUUGUAGGCUUUCUUUGUUCCUUCCUUGCAGAGCUGUGAUGGGGCUAUGGCACUGGCUGGUCUUUGAGAAUGUCACAUAGCGCGGUUUGGUGGAGGACUAACUUGGAGCCAGCCCUUUCCCUCAGGUUUGUAGGCACAAACUGGACUUCAUACUCUUUUGGGGAGAGGCGUUCUUUGCCAAGCUUUCUCCUCUUAGGAAGCUCCACAAAUGGAACACAGCGUAUGUUUCACAACGCCCAGGUAUUCUGUGAUUGAGAAUGACCUGGUUUCUAGCACCGCUUGCACAGACAAGAAAAUGGAGACUCGGGACUGCUCCGUGUCUGUCCUCUCUCGGGCCCACUACGUUCUGUGUUAUGGCUCCUGGGACAGAGGUGAAUUUCUGACUACUGGAUCAAAUAAAGAGCCGUCUGGACUGUGUAUCACUAAGCAAGAGAUUCAGCCCAGGAGGGGAGUGGCUUGGGAUUAAAGCCACAGAAGCCAGAGGGAAGUGACACGGAUGACAGCGUCCUGCUUCUGGAUGGUAACAUGCAAUGCAUGAAGAAUUCUGGGGCCCAAAUGGGCAGAUUCGGAGCAGUGCUCUGGUGGCACACACCUUCUAAGGACUAAGGACUCCCUUAGGACUCCCUUUCUAAAUGCAUUUAGGCUCAGAUGUUUCCUGUACUUCCAACGCCCAUCGCUCGGCUACCUUCCCAAGGAAUCUCAAAAACACCACCACCCAGGGUCGCGGAUGUAGCUCAGUGGCUUGCGAGUGCAAGGACCCGAGUUUGGACCCAUGUUAGAUCCCAGUUACCAAACAAACCACCACCACCCAACAUCCCAUUCUCUAGUCCAGGGAUUCUCCAACUCGUUUUGUUUGUUUGUUUUGUUUUAUACACUUGCUUACUGAGGCCACCAAAGAGCUUUGUUUUUUGUGUGUUCAAUAGGUACUGUAUUUGAAAUUAAAGCAAAACUGUAAAGAACAGCCACUAAGUGCAUUUAGAAAUAAUAAAUCGAUCACAGGUUAACAUAAACCGUAUUACAUAAAACAUAAAACAAAGAAUGGAUGAAUUUUCCAAAAAAUUAGUGGUGAGAAUUUUUAUAGUUUUGCAAAUUUCCUUUAAUACCCAACUUUGAAGACCACUGGAUUCUCCUGCUUCUGCACCCAGUCUUGUGAGAUUACAUUUUGUACUCUCUGCUAGGGGAGAGACUGGUUUAUUGGGGACGAUCUCUUUGAGAGAUUGAUAGCUCUUUCUGAAAAUACUUCUGAUCCUGUCAAUCUCCUGAAUGAAGUCCCUGGUACCCAUUUUGAGAACUGUGAUACGGGUCAUUUCAGUGGCCACAGUGUCUCCCAAGGCCCGGAUGACAUCCCUUACUUCCGGCUCUGUUCCCACUGUGUCUUGCCCUGCUGUUGACGUUUACUAACAUGAUAGACUGAAGCGAUCCUCUUGCUUCAGGCUCCUGAAUAGCUGGGGCCACAGCUACAUGCCACGAUACCUGGCCUAACCUUUUUUAAAUUUAACCCCUCUUUUAGUUAGAAAAGAAACACAGCUGUAUUACGGCUAUCUAGUAGUAAACAAUAUAUACACAUGCAGUUUUCUAGUUAUCAUUACAUCAUGAUUUACAAAUGAACAGUAAUUCUGAACCCUAUCCCCACUCCUGGCAAGGGGUAGGCGUUUCUUUUUCUAACAUCAAACAGCAGCAUCAUGUUCCACUGUGUAGAUAUAACACAAUUACUUACUAAAUAACCAACAUUAGCACAUUUGAAUGCUUCCAAUUUCUUAUAAUAACAGUACUCCGGUGAAGAAUACCUUCAUACAUCUAGCUUUUUUGGAGACUUAGGGCUAUUUCCUUAGAUUCCCAGAAGUAAGAUUACUGGGUCAAAAGGUGCAGACAUUUUUAUGGCUUUUAAUACAUACUGUAAAAUUGCUUUUCAAAAGGGCUAAUUUACAAUGCCACCAACACUUUCAAGAAUGUUUCAGCACACGAAUCAUCAACACAGGUGCCAUUAAGAAUGCUAAUCGAUAAAAUAUUGUACCCUAGUUGCUAAAAUUUUGCAUUUUUUUGAGGCUCAUAAAGUUAGUUUGUUGAAGAAUGAGCGUACAAUACAAAACAUUCUUUUGGGACAUCUUUAUUUCUGGAAAACCUAGGAAGUUCUCCCUGGCGAAGACCAGAAAAAAGAACACAUGUUAGGAUUGGCACAAAAUCCACUUUGACAGUCAAUCUUAAUGCCAAAACACUCAACGACGAUUUUUUUCACUGUUUCUCUGCUUUCGCUAAUAGUAGCAAAAGGAAAACAACAAAAACAAAACAAAGCAACAAAAAACCCCCCAACUCCACAAAAAACCCACAUUGUAGAGGAAUGAAACAUUCUCACUUCAAACCAUACAAGAUC